Molecule: ribosomal RNA, 253 nt
Filed under: uncultured bacterium
Lineage: Bacteria
Description: partial 16S ribosomal RNA
Rfam family: Bacterial small subunit ribosomal RNA
Source: RNAcentral
UACAGAGGGGGCAAGCGUUGUUCGGAAUUACUGGGCGUAAAGGGCGCGUAGGCGGCCUAUUAAGUCAGACGUGAAAUCCCUCGGCUCAACCGGGGAACUGCGUCUGAUACUGGUGGGCUUGAGUUCGGGAGAGGAAUGUGGAAUUCCAGGUGUAGCGGUGAAAUGCGUAGAUAUCUGGAGGAACACCGGUGGCGAAGGCGGCAUCCUGGACCGACACUGACGCUGAGGCGCGAAAGCCAGGGGAGCAAACGGG